This is a transfer RNA of Helobdella robusta, 72 nucleotides long. It matches the Rfam family "tRNA". From Rfam's summary of the family: Transfer RNA (tRNA) molecules are approximately 80 nucleotides in length. Their secondary structure includes four short double-helical elements and three loops (D, anti-codon, and T loops). Lineage: Eukaryota; Metazoa; Annelida; Clitellata; Rhynchobdellida; Glossiphoniidae. The record is from Rfam.
UCCCACAUGGUCUAGUGGUUAGGAUUCCAGCCUUUCACGUUGGCGGCCCGGGUUCAAUUCCCGGUGUGGGAA